UAAUGUACACCGGAAACUCGAACUCUACACGGUCUGCUAAUGGGUUUAGGUAUUAGCUAGUUCUAACGAUGCAUACCAAUGUACUUGUCUCUGUAGGCUGCCCUAAGAUUUAUGACUCUUUUGCCUUCUGUAGCUGUAAACAAGGAGGGGGAAGGAAGAAAAAAAACCACCCUAGUCUCUGCAUCACUUAGUACAUCAAGGAGUCUUUUUUAAAAACCCAGGUUAUAGGAGAGAGAUUCCUACCAAGUCUGCAACUUUUCCUAAAAUGCUCGUGUUGUGGGUUGUGUCUGUUAUUUCUUUGCUCACGCCUCAGUCAAGAGGACAGCGGCUAACCCCCCCCCACACACACACACACAUACACACACACGCACAAAAGACUCUAUAGAAAGCUAAGCAGAGUUCCAACUCCUACAGCAAGAUGAUGAAGAAUGAUUGGAUUCAGAGCCUAAGCACAAGAGAGGGGGUUCGGAUUCGACUUUGUUGAUUAAAUUAUUCUUGUGCCAGCGCAAAGAGUGCUUAUUGCUUGGAAGAAGAUGGUGGAAUAAGAGGAAAUGCUUGUUUUACAAAGACGACAAUAUUUAUGAUUGCUGGGCUAAAGGUAUUUGUAUAUGAUCGCUUUCUAGAGGAAAGGCCAGAAAGUUUGGUAAAAUUUGUAUGUGAAUGUAUUUUUAAAAUAUAUUAAAUCUCUAGUAUUUUGGACAGGAUUCGCUCUGGGGUGCUGGGGGCGUUGUGUACAAUGAAGAUUACAAACUGAAAGGAAAGGUCCCUCUAUAUACUGUUCAUCUCUAGAAGAAGAUUUACUAUUGGAAGAAUAAUUUGGCCGCAAAUACUUUGGGUUGGGGAAAAUGAGGUUAGGAUGGGUGAGGGGAAAAUAUGUAUGUUAACUGUGUCAGAUUUAUUUGUGCAAAAAUAAUUCUAUUUUAAUUAAGAUUGUUUAAAAAAUACGCUUUCCCCUAUAAUUAUGUGAUUUAAGCAUAUCAUUCAUUAAACAUACUGAAGAUUUUGUUGGCUAGACACUAUUUCUUGAUCUCUGCAGGCCAAUCCGUGCCUGAAUGUUACCUUCGCUGUCGAGUGCAUAUGUACAGUUUUACUGACAUAUUAUCGUGACCGUUAAGUUUAUUUGUGUCACAUAAAGGCAGUCUGGAUAUUAUUUUGUACUCAAUGAAGCCCCUCAAAUAUAUUUCAAUGAAAGGUGUGUGUGUGUGGGGGGGGGGGGGGGGAUUACUGAAGAAUUGAUGCAUGUGAGCUUGAAUUUAAAAUAUUGUUUAAGUUUCUACUUACUGUUAUUGUUCUUAUUAUUGGUUUUUCCCUGAAUGAACUUUGUGUUUUGGCAGAGUUAUGGUGCUUGGAGGCAUUUGAGGACGUAUAUUUCAUCACCAGGGCUCUUAAAUGUCAGAAAGCAAUAUAUAAAUUAGAAAUCUGAUCUUUGAUAUUGUUGAAUCGAAAAACUUACCAAAAUAUUCCAGAAAGGGGGUGUUUCUUUUAAAAUGUGAUUAGCGUUGGCACACGCUACACUUUUUAUUCUUAGGAUUAAAAAAAAUGAGGGGACAGCUCAUCUAUUUAUUUUCGUUUGGUUCCUCCUAGCCAGUGGGUGAUCAAAGGGUAGCUUUAACACUGAAAUCGCCUCCGAUUUUUGAAAUGACAGAGUGUAUUGCAAAUUGCAUUUUGAAUGCAACUAUAGAGUGAUUUCUCUCUCUUUUUUCUCUUUUGCAUCUGAUUUCAGGAUUUCAGUCAGGGAGUGAUAACCACUUAAGACCAAAUACGUUAAUUUUGGAGCUUCCUAAAUACACUUCUUUCCCCCUUCAGAUGUUGCAAACUUCCAUUCGAUUGCUCUUUAAACCACUUCUAUUUUGUUAUUUGAAGAAAACAAAAAAACUUGAACCAGAGAAGAAAGUUGAGUCCUUCUAAUCAUUCGGAGGCACAUGGUGUGGCUUAAAAUGUUCGCUUUGAGAUUCAUAAAAUAUUUAAAGCCACAAGUCAACCCUCUCCUAUUUAUUGCAGUGUAUAAUUCAAAAUUAUCGUGUAUUAAUAAGCCAAUAAUGAUAAUCUCUAUAGGAAAAGCAUGCUAGUUGUGCCGGUUUUAUGGCUGCCCUUAUCCUUUCUAAUGACCUUUGGCUCAGUAGCAUAAUAACUCACUACAGAAUGAGCAAUUGUCUGGAGUGCCUUAAAUACCUCACAGUCUUUUCUACACUCCGGACACUUCCAGAGAGGUAGUCUCUUGCUUCAGAGCAUCCAGAGGAGGGAAGUCUCCCCUCUCCUCUCAAGAUCUGGACUACGGGAGGGGGUGGGGGGACUCUGGACCAGAGGACAAGAGUCUGUUCCCCUAAGGCACUUUAUGGAACUCGGCCGUGCUCUCUCUGCUCACGUGAUCCCGAAUUCUCAGCUGAAAGCCUGGUUAAUUUCACCUCUAUUUCCUUGCACUUGGAAAGUAAAUUCCUACACCACAACCAAAGAUUGUGUUAGUAAGUUAUUGUUAUGCUCCUUGUAAAGGAUGUAUAGGCAUGAGUACUGGGAUCUUGGACGGUUAAAAAAAAUGCAUAGUCUGCUAAUUCUUCAGAGAGGAUUCUUUGCAAGAAAUGAAGUGUAUAUUCUGCAAAAAAUCUCCUUCCCAGGCCCUCGCCGCUGAUCAAAGUUUUGGAGCUGAUGGAAACCGGCUUUCUCUCCUCUUAUGUGCUUGUGUUCAUUAAAGACCAUUUUUAAAUUCAA
Long non-coding RNA from Chrysemys picta bellii (western painted turtle), 2706 nucleotides. RefSeq lists it as uncharacterized. NCBI's taxonomy places the organism in Eukaryota, Metazoa, Chordata, Testudines, Emydidae. The record is from RefSeq and is a predicted model, not a curated record.